GAUGAACGCUGGCGGCGUGCCUAAUACAUGCAAGUCGAGCGAACAGACGAGGAGCUUACUCCUCUGACGUUAGCGGCGGACGGGUGAGUAACACGUGGAUAACCUACCUAUAAGACUGGGAUAACUUCGGGAAACCGGCGCUAAUACCGGAUAACAUGUUGAACCGCAUGGUUCAACAGUGAAAGACGGUCUUGCUGUCACUUAUAGAUGGAUCCGCGUCGCAUUAGCUAGUUGGUAAGGUAACGGCUUACCAAGGCAACGAUGCGUAGCCGACCUGAGAGGGUGAUCGGCCACACUGGAACUGAGACACGGUCCAGACUCCUAAGGGAGGCAGCAGUAGGGAAUCUGCCGCAAUGGGCGAAAGCCUGACGGAGCAACGCCGCGUGAGUGAAGAAGGUCUUCGGAUCGUAAAACUCUGUUAUUAGGGAAGAACAAAUGUGUAAGUAACUAUGCACGUCUUGACGGUACCUAAUCAGAAAGCCACGGCUAACUACGUG
Molecule: ribosomal RNA, 497 nt
Filed under: uncultured bacterium
Lineage: Bacteria
Description: partial 16S ribosomal RNA
Rfam family: Bacterial small subunit ribosomal RNA
Source: RNAcentral